RNAcentral lists this ribosomal RNA (253 nucleotides) under uncultured bacterium. Its description in RNAcentral is "partial 16S ribosomal RNA". It matches the Rfam family "Bacterial small subunit ribosomal RNA", at positions 524 to 776 of the family's 1533-position model. The record is from RNAcentral.
UACGUAGGGGGCUAGCGUUGUCCGGAAUCAUUGGGCGUAAAGCGCGUGUAGGCGGUCCGGUAAGUCCGCUGUGAAAGUCGGGGGCUCAACCCUCGAAUGCCGGUGGAUACUGUCGGGCUAGAGUGCGGAAGAGGCGAGUGGAAUUCCUGGUGUAGCGGUGGAAUGCGCAGAUAUCAGGAGGAACACCAAUAGCGAAGGCAGCAGGCUAAACAAAUAUUGACGCUGAGGCUCGAAAGCGUGGGGAUCAAACAGG